AAAGACAUAGUAUAAGCAAAUACAUUUCACUUACACUGAAAAUAUACUUAUUUAACAAGUUGUUUUUA
RNAcentral lists this transfer RNA (68 nucleotides) under Alcithoe benthicola. Its description in RNAcentral is "tRNA-Val". The record is from RNAcentral. Lineage: Eukaryota; Metazoa; Mollusca; Gastropoda; Neogastropoda; Volutidae.